RNAcentral lists this transfer RNA (77 nucleotides) under Candidatus Kaiserbacteria bacterium. RNAcentral describes it as "tRNA-Met". It matches the Rfam family "tRNA". Rfam says of the family: Transfer RNA (tRNA) molecules are approximately 80 nucleotides in length. Lineage: Bacteria; Candidatus Kaiseribacteriota. RNAcentral also lists the same sequence under 1 other name. The record is from RNAcentral.
AGCGGGGUAGAGCAGUCAGGUGGCUCGCCAGGCUCAUAACCUGGAGGUCGUUGGUUCAAAUCCAACCCCCGCUACCA